ACGGGUGAGUAACGCGUGGGUGAUCUCCCUUGGUGAUCGGGAUAACAGCGGGAAACUGCUGCUAAUACCGGAUAAUCUUCAUGUUUAACUUCAUGGGGUAAAGGUGGCCUCUGCUUGCAAGCUACCACACCGAGAUGAGCCCGCGUCUCAUUAGCUAGUUGGUAGGGUAAUGGCCUACCAAGGCUACGAUGAGUAGCUGGUCUGAGAGGAUGACCAGCCACACUGGGACUGGAACACGGCCCAGACUCCUACGGGAGGCAGCAGUGGGGAAUAUUGCGCAAUGGGCGAAAGCCUGACGCAGCGACGCCUCGUGAGGGAUGAAGGUCUUCGGAUCGUAAACCUCUGUCAAGAGGGAAGAAACCCUUGGGUUCGAAUAGGGCCCUUGGCUGACGGUACCUCAAAAGGAAGCACCGGCUAACUCCGUGCCAGCAGCCGCGGUAAUACGGAGGGUGCAAGCGUUAAUCGGAAUCACUGGGCGUAAAGCGCUCGUAGGCGGUUUGGUCAGUCAGAUGUGAAAGCCCUCGGCUUAACCGGGGAACUGCAUUUGAUACUGCCAGACUUGAGUGUCGGAGAGGGUGGCGGAAUU
RNAcentral lists this ribosomal RNA (586 nucleotides) under uncultured bacterium. RNAcentral's name for it is "bacterial SSU rRNA". It matches the Rfam family "Bacterial small subunit ribosomal RNA", at positions 102 to 668 of the family's 1533-position model. The record is from RNAcentral.